This 442-nucleotide ribosomal RNA is filed under the name uncultured bacterium. Its description in RNAcentral is "SSU rRNA". It matches the Rfam family "Bacterial small subunit ribosomal RNA", at positions 26 to 518 of the family's 1533-position model. The record is from RNAcentral.
AGAGCGAACGCUGGCGGCAGGCCUAACACAUGCAAGUCGAGCGCCCGUAGCAAUACGGGAGCGGCAGACGGGAUAGUAACACGUGGGAACGCGCCCUUCGGUUCGGAAUAACUCAGGGAAACUUGAGCUAAUACCGGAUACGCCCUUACGGGGAAAGAUUUAUUGCCGAAGGAACGGCCCGCGUCCGAUUAGCUAGUUGGUGAGGUAAUGGCUCACCAAGGCGACGAUCGGUAGCUGGUCUGAGAGGAUGACCAGCAUCACUGGGACUGAGACACGGCCCAGACUCCUACGGGAGGCAGCAGUGGGAAUAUGGACAAUGGGCGCAAGCCUGAUCCAGCCAUGCCGCGUGGAUGAUGAAGGCCUUAGGGUUGUAAAGUCCUUUUAACGGGAGAUAAUGACGGUACCGUAGAAUAAGCCCGGCUAACUUCGUGCCAGCAGCCGC